Molecule: long non-coding RNA, 1777 nt
Filed under: Hordeum vulgare
Lineage: Eukaryota; Viridiplantae; Streptophyta; Magnoliopsida; Poales; Poaceae
Description: long non-coding RNA (HVUL_LNC005807)
Source: RNAcentral
UUGUUAGCAUCGCAACGGUUGUCCCUCUCCUUGUAGGGGUAGUCCUCCUCAGAGUCAAUACCACCAUUGUUAAUGAUGAACUCAAAUGCAUAGUCCAUCAGACCUCCAUUGCAUCCCUGGUUGUAUGAAGUGUCACAGUCAACAAGCUCUUGCUCGGACAGAGGGAUCAUGUCGCCUGUGACAAUCUGGUUGAUGCCUUCGACAGCUGCUAUUGCUGAGAAAGCCCAGCAGCUCCCUGUAAAAGACAAACAAAUGUCAGAUUCCAGUAUCUUUGUGUAACGAUUUUAGUUGUAGAUCAAUGCACUGAUACAAGUGGCAAGUAGUAACAGAGCAACAAUACAUAGUGGUACAAAUUUCUUGAAAUUGCAGAUGAAGACAUGCUACCAAUCAGACGGCGAAACGUUCAAAGAGUCGUGAGGGAGAUGUGUACCCAAGGGCAUAAUGGACUUAUGUCAAAUAAUAGCAGAGGUGGAUGGUGAGACCACAUCCAACAAAUAACAGGACAAAUGGGUCCGCCAGCUUAUCAACUAGACAACGACCGCCACUACUUUGUAAUUUUCCUCCAUUGCAUACUCCAACAGCCUAAUGGAAUCAUGUGAAAUAAUAUCAGUACUAACUUAAUGUCCAUGUUCAAUGAACCUACUUCCAAAAUACGGAGUACUACGUAUAUCCAAACUCAUGAAGAUGAUGCUAACAGAGCUGUACUGACCUUCCAUAUUAGUAAAUCAUUCAGUACUACCACUGAAUCUAGCAAGUGAUACCAGAAGCUCUGACAGAAGCACAUACCGAAAAUAAGGUGUCCCAAUUGCUGAAACCUGAAUGACACUAUAACAUACUGCUACUAGAGACCAAUUAACACAUCCUACCAAAAUAAAUUUAAAUUUAAGAAAUUUUUAUUUUACUUCUGUGUGAAAUUAUACGCCGGCCUAAGAAUCGCAGAUCCCCUUUUCACUGUUCAAAUCGUUUAGGUGAAGCCUCUCAACAGCACCAAUUAUUGCACGUUCCCCUGCUUUCUGUUCAUGUGUAUACUAAACCAUGGCACGUUGACUAACAAAGUUCCCAAUUUACGCAACAGAUUGGAAUAUACUAGUCGCAAGAAUCUUCACUUAAAACCGUUAGUAUCCACCGAUAAUACUGCAAAAAGGAAACAAAAUAGAAGCAGCAGCAGCAGCAGAUGAGUCGAGGAUGCUUUGCUUACCACAGCCGCCCUGGUCCUUGACGGCACCAACUGCGCCCUUCUUCCUCCAGUCGACGGACUCGGGCAGCUCGUCGUUGUCGGCGGCCUGGUACCUGGCGCUGAGCUUCCGCUCCCGGUCGGGCUUAGUGCGGGCGCCGAGGUAGGUGCUGCGGUACUCCUCGUUGGUGAGGUCGGCGAAGCGGUUGAGGCCGAGGCGGAAGGAGUGGACCCCGGCGUCGGCGGCGGCGUUGUGCUGGUCGAUGUAGCGGAGGUUGUCCCGGAACGCCUCGAAGCGGCGCUCCUCCUCGCCGAUGGCGUUGUACGUACUGCCGUGCUCCGCCAUCCACUCGGCGUACAUCCGCCGGACCUCCUCCUCGCUCCGCUCCCCGUAGGACACGAUCGACAUGUCCGCCGCCGCCGCCAGCGACACCAUCAGCAGCAGCGCCGCCGAGGCCGCCAGCAGAGCCAUGGAGGUCCUCAUCCCCGAGACCAGAGGUGCGUCACCGAGCAGGAAGAGAGGGGUAGCAGAUGGGAUGGAUUGGGUAGCAGCCGUGCUUUUCUUCUCCAUGGACGAUGGUAUCGGAGGUCGCUUUAUAGGAA